Molecule: ribosomal RNA, 648 nt
Filed under: Branchiostoma lanceolatum (amphioxus)
Lineage: Eukaryota; Metazoa; Chordata; Leptocardii; Amphioxiformes; Branchiostomatidae
Description: partial LrRNA
Rfam family: Archaeal large subunit ribosomal RNA
Source: RNAcentral
AGUAUUAGAGGUCUGGUCUGCCCAGUGUAAAAAAUUAACGGCCGCGGUAUCCUGACUGUGCAAAGGUAGCAUAAUCACUUGCCCUUUAAAUGGGGGAAUGUAUGAAUGAUUAGACGAGGUUUUGACUGUCUUUUUUCUAAAAACUGAGAUUUCAGUACCUGUGAAAAUGCGGGUGAAAUCAUAAUGGACGAGAAGACCCUGUUGAGCUUUUAAGUUAUACAGCAGUAUGAAUUAAAUUAGAUAAUUCAUUAUUUAUAAAAUACACAUAUCUGGUAAGCUUUUUGGCUGGGGUGGCAAGCAAAGGAAUUAAGCUUUGUUUAUCAAUUGAAAUCUUAAUGUUUGGAGACAGUAUAUGUCAAUAAACUUAAUUUGGAUCCGCUAACUGAGCGAUUAAUAGAAUAAGUUACCACAGGGAUAACAGCGUUAUUCUUCUUGAGAGCUCGUAUUGACAGAGGAGUUUGCGACCUCGAUGUUGGAUCAAGAUUCCUGGUGGUGUAGCAGCUAUUAAGGGUUUGCCUGUUCGGCGAUUAAAAUCUUACGUGAUCUGAGUUCAGACCGUCGUAAGACAGGUUAGAUUCUAUCCUUAAAUUUAUGCGUUUAGUACGAAAGGACCAACAGCAUGUGAUUUUAAGUUUUUAUUAAAUCAUA